This 321-nucleotide small RNA is filed under the name uncultured bacterium. Its description in RNAcentral is "bacterial SSU rRNA". It matches the Rfam family "Bacterial small subunit ribosomal RNA", at positions 41 to 358 of the family's 1533-position model. The record is from RNAcentral.
GGCGUCGAUUAGGCAUGCAAGUCGAACGAUACCGCAAGGUAUAGUGGCAAAAGGGCGAGGAACACGUGAGUAAUCUACCAUCGUGUGGGGAACAACCUUGGGAAACCGAGGCUAAAACCGCAUAAGACCACGGCCUGGCAUCAGGCUGUGAUCAAAUGGGGGGACCGCAAGGCCUCUAGCAUGAUGAUGAGCUCGCGUCCCAUCAGCUUGUUGGCGGGGUAAUGGCCCACCAAGGCUUUUGACGGGUAGCUGGACUGAGAGGUUGGUCAGCCGCAUUGGGACUGAGACACUGCCCAGACUCCUACGGGAGGCAGCAGUGGG